RNAcentral lists this ribosomal RNA (867 nucleotides) under Fuscoporia torulosa. Its description in RNAcentral is "LSU rRNA". It matches the Rfam family "Eukaryotic large subunit ribosomal RNA", at positions 66 to 915 of the family's 3401-position model. Lineage: Eukaryota; Fungi; Basidiomycota; Agaricomycetes; Hymenochaetales; Hymenochaetaceae. The record is from RNAcentral.
UAACAAGGAUUCCCCUAGUAACUGCGAGUGAAGAGGGAAAAGCUCAAAUUUAAAAUCUGGCGGUUUUGUCGCCCGAGUUGUAAUCUGGAGAAGCGUUUUCCGCGCCGGACCGUGUACAAGUCUCUUGGAACAGAGUGUCAUAGAGGGUGAGAAUCCCGUCCAUGACACGGACUCCCGGUGCUUUGUGAUACGCUCUCGAAGAGUCGAGUUGUUUGGGAAUGCAGCUCAAAAUGGGUGGUAAGCUCCAUCUAAAGCUAAAUAUUGGCGAGAGACCGAUAGCGAACAAGUACCGUGAGGGAAAGAUGAAAAGCACUUUGGAAAGAGAGUAAAACAGUACGUGAAAUUGUUGAAAGGGAAACGCUUGAAGUCAGUCGCAUCUUACUUGACUCAGCCUUGCUUCGGCUUGGUGUAUUUCAAGUAGGAUGGGUCAACAUCGAUUUUGACCGGCGGACAAGGGGUGAAGGAAUGUGGCACUCUUCGGAGUGUGUUAUAACCUUUUCUCAUAUACGUCGGUUGGGAUUGAGGCCCGCAGCGCGCCCUUGUGGCCGGAGGUUCGCCUCACGUAACGCGCUUAGGAUGUUGGCAUAAUGGCUUUAAGCGACCCGUCUUGAAACACGGACCAAGGAGUCUAACAUGCUCGCGAGUGUUAGGGUGGAAAACCCUUGCGCGUAAUGAAAGUGAAAGUUGAGAACCUCCGCAAGGGGGCGCAUCGACGCCCGGCCCUGAAGUUUACUGACGGUGCUGCGGUAGAGCGCGUAUGUUGGGACCCGAAAGAUGGUGAACUAUGCCUGAAUAGGGCGAAGCCAGAGGAAACUCUGGUGGAGGCUCGUAGCGAUUCUGACGUGCAAAUCGAUCGUCAAAUUUGGG